RNAcentral lists this long non-coding RNA (1406 nucleotides) under Piliocolobus tephrosceles (Ugandan red Colobus). RNAcentral describes it as "lncRNA (ENSPTEG00000016293.1)". Lineage: Eukaryota; Metazoa; Chordata; Mammalia; Primates; Cercopithecidae. The record is from RNAcentral.
AUAUGAAGAUAUGUACAUACGUAUAAAAAUAUAAAUAAAAAUGAUGACCGAAGAAUAUAAUGAAAAGGAUGUCACAAGUGUUAAUAAUGAAAAAACGCUAACUACAAAAUCGGAAUCUGAGAAAUUAGUUGAAGAUCAGUGGUUGUCAAGUCCAAACCGGGCAGAGGCAAACCAGGCAGAGACAAACCAGGCGGAGGAAAACCAAACUGAGGAAAACCAAACUGAGGAAAACCAAACCGAGACAACUUCAAACAAUCUCAACUCCAACUAUGAAGACGUUCAAAAACACUUCGAGAUGUUAAACGAUACGGUUGAAAACAUGAACAUGCAUUUUAAUAAGAUUUUAGAAGAUAAUGAAGAGAAGUAUAUAUUAGCGUUUAAUACAUAUAUGUAUGAUGUACAGAAAGAAAUAAGAUUACUAAAAAAAGCAGUGAAAGAGCAAAAAAUUAAACAGUUGAAAGAUGAAAGGGUGAUGAGCUUACAAAAGGAACUAAAGUGGUAUAUAAACGAAUGUUUACGACUAGAUGAUGUUUCUCAGUUUUUUAAAAAAGAAGCUGAGAAGUGGAAACGAAAUAGCGAACUUAUGAAAGAUCAUAUGUUAUUUUUAGAAGCAAAACUUUCAAAGUUAUAUGAUAAAAAAAUUAAAGAAGAAAGCAUAAAAAAUAAGGGAAUAAAAAAAGAAGCUGAACAUUAUACCGAAACACCAGAAUGUGAAGAAAGUAAAAAUAUGAACGAAAAGGAAGAAGAAGAAGAAGAAGAAGAAAAAAAAAUACAAACAAACAAACAAACAAAACUAAAAAAAGUCACAAAUGAAGAAAAUAGAAAAAAUAAAAAAAACGACUCUUGCACCAAAGACAGUGCAAGCAAAAAAAAAAAAGACGUUACAGAAAGAGAUACAGAUUUAAACCAUUUAAUAAAACAAAAAGAAAAAACAAAUAAUAUGAUAUGUAAAGAGUUAGGUUAUAAGAUAAAGAUUUUAGAAAAAAAAUUAAAAAAACAAAUAAGUAUUAAUGAUGACUUACAAGAAAAACUAACUCAACGUUAUAUUGAGAAGUCCCAGUAUGAAAAGUUAUUUAUCGAUUGUAUUCAUGAAAUUAAAAAAGAUUUGGAAAAAGAAGCUAAAAAUAAUGAUAAAGAAACAUAUAUAGAAAAUAACUUUUCACAGUUAAUAAAUAAAGAAGAGUUAAGUUAUUUUACAAAAGAAGAAAAAAAAAAAUACUUAUUUCAUUUUUUUCUUCCAGUGCAAUAAUACAACUUCUGAAAAGACAUAUAUUUAGUAAAGAAAAAAUAACUUUUGAUUUUUAUCAAAGAAAUAAUUAUAGUAAUACGAUUUUACCGAAAAAAAAUAUGUCCGACAUUUCGCCCUUUAUUUUGUAAAUUUAAUCACCAAAAAAAAUAAUUAAAUA